CCUACGGGUGGCAGCAGUGAGGAAUAUUGGUCAAUGGUCGGGAGACUGAACCAGCCAAGCCGCGUGAGGGAUGAAGGUACAGAGUAUCGUAAACCUCUUUUGUCAGGGAACAAAGGCGGGGACGUGUCCCCGGAUGAGUGUACCUGAAGAAAAAGCAUCGGCUAACUCCGUGCCAGCAGCCGCGGUAAUACGGAGGAUGCGAGCGUUAUCCGGAUUUAUUGGGGUUAAAGGGUGCGCAGUGGGUCUGUUAAGUCAGCGGUAAAAGCCCGGGGUGAAACCCCGGCCCGCCGUUGAAACUGGCAGUCUCGAGUUGGAGAGAAGUAUGCGGAAUGCGCGGUGUAGCGGUGAAAUGCAUAGAUAUCGCGCAGAACUCCGAUUGCGAAGGCAGCAUGCCGGCUCCACACUGACGCUGAGGCACGAAAGCGUGGGUAUCGAACAGGAUUAGAUACCCCUGUAGUC
RNAcentral lists this ribosomal RNA (459 nucleotides) under uncultured bacterium. Its description in RNAcentral is "partial 16S ribosomal RNA". It matches the Rfam family "Bacterial small subunit ribosomal RNA", at positions 338 to 795 of the family's 1533-position model. The record is from RNAcentral.